AAUAGAUGACGCCGUUGACUUUUUCUCACAUGUUUGACCAUUCGUCUUAUUCAAAAAAUUUACGUAAUUAUAAUUUAUUUUGUUAUGAGUUGUUUUAUCACUCAUAGAACUUUAAGUGUGAUUUAUAUCUUAUACAUUUGUAUAAAAUUUUUGAAUAAGACGAAUGGUCAAACAUGUGAGAAAAAGUUAACGGCGUCAUCUAUU
This is a microRNA precursor of Oryza sativa Japonica Group (Japanese rice), 204 nucleotides long. It matches the Rfam family "MIR812 microRNA precursor family". The record is from Rfam. Lineage: Eukaryota; Viridiplantae; Streptophyta; Magnoliopsida; Poales; Poaceae.